This 497-nucleotide ribosomal RNA is filed under the name uncultured bacterium. RNAcentral's name for it is "partial 16S ribosomal RNA". It matches the Rfam family "Bacterial small subunit ribosomal RNA", at positions 28 to 507 of the family's 1533-position model. The record is from RNAcentral.
GAUGAACGCUGGCGGCGUGCCUAAUACAUGCAAGUCGAGCGAACGGACGAGAAGCUUGCUUCUCUGAUGUUAGCGGCGGACGGGUGAGUAACACGUGGAUAACCUACCUAUAAGACUGGGAUAACUUCGGGAAACCGGAGCUAAUCCCGGAUAAUAUUUUGAACCGCAUGGUUCAAAAGUGAAAGACGGUCUUGCUGUCACUUAUCGAUGGAUCCGCGCUGCAUUAGCUAGUUGGUAAGGUAACGGCUUACCAAGGCAACGAUGCAUAGCCGACCUGAGAGGGUGAUCGGCCACACUGGAACUGGAACACGGUCCAGACUCCUACGGGAGGCAGCAGUAGGGAAUCUUCCGCAAUGGGCGAAAGCCUGACGGAGCAACGCCGCGUGAGUGAUGAAGGUCUUCGGAGCGUAAAACUCUGUUAUUAGGGAAGAACAUAUGUGUAAGUAACUGUGCACAUCGUGACGGUACCUAAUCAGAAAGCCACGGCUAACUACGUG